ACAGUCUUAUCAAAUAAGAUGCCAAGCUCUUCUUGCAGGUUAUAAGACCACGGCUUCUGUGUGGGGUGCUUUUGCUCUCCCUCUCUCUUCCAUCACUCACCCUGGGAGAAGUCAACUGCCAUGCUGUGAGGGGCCUUUGAAGAGGGCCUGAGCUCUGCCAACAGCCGCACGAGUGAUCUUGGAGUGGAGCCUCCUCCAGUCCAGCCCUGAGAGGACUAUCAUCUGGCCAACAGCUGACGGUUACCGGAAACAUCAACUGAGCCACGGAGACGUGGUUGAACCAAUCAUCCACAGAUGACUU
Long non-coding RNA from Diceros bicornis minor, 301 nucleotides. RefSeq lists it as uncharacterized. NCBI's taxonomy places the organism in Eukaryota, Metazoa, Chordata, Mammalia, Perissodactyla, Rhinocerotidae. The record is from RefSeq and is a predicted model, not a curated record. The transcript is spliced from 3 exons.